This is a long non-coding RNA of Harpia harpyja (harpy eagle), 2596 nucleotides long. RefSeq lists it as uncharacterized. The record is from RefSeq and is a predicted model, not a curated record. Lineage: Eukaryota; Metazoa; Chordata; Aves; Accipitriformes; Accipitridae. The transcript is spliced from 2 exons.
CCUCUUGGCUUCUCAUGGGGCUGAGGGAUCACCAGGGCCACCGUGGCUGCAAGCAGGAAUGGGGGCAGACUGGAGCAGAUAUUGCUGGCCCUGCCUGGCCCUCAUCCUAGCCACACCAGAGACAGUCCCCAUUCCCUACCCUGCUCCCCUUGCCCAUGUGCUUAUCCUGGUACACCCCUAAACCCAACUCUCGCAACACCAGAGUGUCUGGCCUGGCUGUUUUGUCCUUAACAACCUUGAUCUGCACCCACUGCAGAGAGGGGGGACUGGGAACAACUCACAUCCAAGCCAUACAAAUGUCCCUACCCGAGUCAGCGGGGACUUACUACCGUGUGUCCUGUUGCACCUCUGACCAGAAGAGCCCCCAGAAAGCAUCCACAGGCAUGACUUGCCCUCGGCACGGCAGCGGGGGUGACAACCACAUACUGGGCAGCCAGAGAGGUACCCCGAAGCACAGAGGUGGUGGAAGAGAGCAGCAAAGAGGAAAGCUGCCAGUCAGUAUGGGGCCGCAGGGAGGACAAGCAGGUCUGCCCAGCACAUCAAGCACCUUGCUGCUUCAACUGCCUGUGAUGCCUGGAGAAAGGACUGAGCCAAGGGCUGCUCUGGCUCCUCUUUAUACAUGGCAGGACCUCAAAGAAACAGAGCAGAGCCAAGGAAACAGAGGUAUCUGCAGGAAGAGCAUGUUUGUUGCAUUCGUCAGUGCUGACUCCUUCAAGCACCUCUGACCCAAGGUUUCUGUGUAGGUGGAAAAACUUGGGGUUGGUUAUUUGCUCUGCCAGACGCCUGGGCCAUUACUACAUAUUUUGAAGACAGUGAGAGUGAGCUGCCGAGGCAUAUGAACAGUGUGAAUACAAAGAGGAAUAACCUGGAAUUUCCUUCUGGAAGAAAAAAAAUGACAUAUUGGAGGGGUAGAAGAAGUAAGGUUUUCCCCUUCCUUUGACAAAUGCUUCGAAAUAUUUAGAUUAGUCCGUUUUUCAAUAAAAAGAGCAAAAUUGGUGCCUAAAGCUACAGAAAGAACUGUGCUCAUUAAAAAAAAGAAAUUUUGAUUUUAAAAAUAUAUCGAGUCUGACUUUUAUGAAUGCUUCUACUCUUCACUGAGCUUUUCAAGCUAUCGUCAUGUUGGAAAGCUUACCACAUUGUUUGGAUGAGUUAUUUGGUUAUAAGAAGGCAGGGGACCAAAACCCCAUGGAAAAAAUUAUUAGAGCAAAUGCUGCAGAGCAACCGGCUGUAUUUUGCUGUAUUUGUGCAGGGUAUGUUUUAAGUGCAAGCGAUAGCACUGGAGAGAAGCUUUUUCCAUGUCAAUUUUGGCAUGCAUGGCAUGCAGCAACAGCCUAGUUUCACAGGACUCAUUCUGCCAAAUCUAUGGAGCCCAGUAUUGACUUUGCUGAGUAAAUAUUUUUGAAGGCCUUUGCAGUGCCUGUGUAAGCAAUUCCCUGCUAUGGUUCUGCAAAAAUGCCAUUGCUUUUCAAGAAGUAGAAAUGACUUUCCACAGUAGCGUUGGAAAUGUUAACACAGUGCUAUGCCUCUCAUUUUGUACCAUCAGAUGCUGGGCAGUGGAAGUGUGAUCUUAGAGCAAGCACAUGAGCCAUAGUGAAGCAUGGGAGAGAGCAUAAUUUGCUUCAUUUGCAUGCACUAAACAAGCAACAGCCCAGUUCCUGGCUAAGGCAUUAAUUGUUUGGUAAUACAGCAGGUGAGAACAGCAGGUUGACCACUGUCAGAGCAAACUCUGGGCAUGAAAUUCGAGCAGAUAUAACUUAGAUACUAGCUUUAGGCUAGCAUCCAAAAAGUUUAUAGCUGCUUUCUUGGUGGAAUAUAGUGCUGUUUUGGGAACAGUUUUUGUUGCCUGUUGUAAUGCAGCCUAUACUGAUCUGCUGCAGGACACACGGCAAAGUGAAAGACAUACAUUGAAAGCAAAAAAAGUUUUUUUAAAGAAAAAGUCAGACUGACACGGUUUGUCUUUUCUCCAGAGAAAAGCAUGUAAAGGGGAAGGGAGGCCAUUAAAUAGGGUUCAGGAGGCCUGAAUAGAGCUCCUGUCUCAGACUUUCUCUGUGACCUUAGGAAAGCUGCUUAACUCCCAUCCACAAAACAGAGAUGAUAUAGUUUCCAUCUCCCUGUGGUGUUAUAAGGCAGAAUCAACCACAAACCUUGGAACUUUACAUUUGGCUGUGAUAGGCAGGACAUGAAAGUACCUAAAUGAGAAAGGAAUUAAGAAACAAAUGCAAUGGUUUAUUAAAAUACAAAAAUGCAAAAAUCCCUCCUCUAUUUUCAGGCACCAGUCCCAUGCUGGCUUUUUGCUACUUGUUGCCAUUACAGAUUUGCUGACCACUGCCUGUAAAUGGCCCACUGCUGCUUGUGGCAAAGGCCUUUUUGUCUCCCUGGAUAAAGGACCACAUCCCAGUAGUUUAAGGAUAGUGUGGAAGUCUCGCAUCGCAGCCGUGAUCCCACUCACUGAGGUUUGAAGUUGUGCCUGGGGAAGGGGGAGGGAAGGCAUUUCCUUAAGUCCUCAUGUAAUUUUUUUAUAUCUUCUGUGCUUCUUAAUACCCAAAUCAGUAAUUAAAAGUGUACGUUAAUUGGCAAUAAAUUAAAUUAAGUGAAA